UGAUAAAACCCUCUAGUCCACCCCGGUGAU
RNAcentral lists this non-coding RNA (30 nucleotides) under Mus musculus (house mouse). Lineage: Eukaryota; Metazoa; Chordata; Mammalia; Rodentia; Muridae. The record is from RNAcentral.